CAGCCGCCGCGGGAAAACAGAGGGUGCGAGCGUUAAUCGGAUUUACUGGGCGUAAAGCGUGCGUAGGCGGCUUUUUAAGUCGGAUGUGAAAUCCCUGAGCUUAACUUAGGAAUUGCAUUCGAUACUGGGAAGCUAGAGUAUGGGAGAGGAUGGUAGAAUUCCAGGUGUAGAGGUGAAAUGCGUAGAGAUCUGGAGGAAUACCGAUGGCGAAGGCAGCCAUCUGGCCUAAUACUGACGCUGAGGUACGAAAGCAUGGGGAGCAAACAGGAUUAGAUACCCCUGUAGUCCCUGUCUCUUAUAC
RNAcentral lists this ribosomal RNA (301 nucleotides) under uncultured bacterium. Its description in RNAcentral is "partial 16S ribosomal RNA". It matches the Rfam family "Bacterial small subunit ribosomal RNA", at positions 509 to 807 of the family's 1533-position model. The record is from RNAcentral.